AGAGUUUGAUCAUGGCUCAGGAUGAACGCUAGCUACAGGCUUAACACAUGCAAGUCGAGGGGAAACGACAUCGAAAGCUUGCUUUUGAUGGUCGUCGACCGGCGCACGGGUGAGUAACGCGUAUCCAACCUGCCCAUCACUUGGGGAUAACCUUGCGAAAGUAAGACUAAUACCCAAUGAUAUCUCUAGAAGAAAACAUCUGAAAGAGAUUAAAGAUUUAUCGGUGAUGGAUGGGGAUGCGUCUGAUUAGCUUGUUGGCGGGGUAACGGCCCACCAAGGCAACGAUCAGUAGGGGUUCUGAGAGGAAGGUCCCCUACAUUGGAACUGAGACACGGUCCAAACUCCUACGGGAGGCAGCA
This 359-nucleotide ribosomal RNA is filed under the name uncultured bacterium. RNAcentral describes it as "bacterial SSU rRNA". It matches the Rfam family "Bacterial small subunit ribosomal RNA", at positions 8 to 353 of the family's 1533-position model. The record is from RNAcentral.